CAAUGCAAGUUUUGGUUGUUGCAAUUUGGGAGAUUAAAUGCAAGGGAAAAAUAUACAACUAAUGGCAUGAUGCUCAACAGCAUUGAUGUACAGGUAGUCCAAGUCCAUAACUCCCUGAAAGUGGCAACUGGAAAGUAGAUAGUGGUAAGCAAAGCAUAUGGUAUGCAAGCAUUCAUUGGUUGGGGCAUUAAGUAAAAGAGUCAAGAUGUAAUGAUACAGCUGUAUAGGACUCUGCUUCCCAUAAAGACAAUCCUUAAAGUUGUUAAUUAAGAUGGAUGGUAGCUUUUUAACCUCCUGAGCCUUCAUAACAUUGA
Amblyraja radiata (thorny skate) is the source of this 314-nucleotide long non-coding RNA. RefSeq lists it as uncharacterized. NCBI's taxonomy places the organism in Eukaryota, Metazoa, Chordata, Chondrichthyes, Rajiformes, Rajidae. The record is from RefSeq and is a predicted model, not a curated record. The transcript has 5 exons.